UGGCUGGCAAUAAAAAAAGAAGAAUUGUGCUGAUGUUUUGGGCUUUAUCGGGCUAUUAUAGAACUGUGCUUUUAAUCCGUCGCCCCUUUUUCUUAGCAUAUUUUAAUACAAACUAGGUCAAAGAGUUUUUUUUUCUGGCGUAAAUUAUUACUUGAAGAAAGAAGAAGAUGAAUUGUGUUGAUGUAUUGGGCUUUAUUUCCACAGUGGUUGAGGAAACAAGAACUUCGACUGAAUAACCAUAAGUAGUAAUUUUUGGGAUCAACAACCAUAACUAUUAAUGAAGUGAAUGAUUACAUAAAUGAAGAAAUUAAUCAAGAAGAUGAUAAACUCCAAUGCAAGGAAUCUCGGGAUCGCUGGAAUCCUAAACAAUAUUUCUCUUCUUUCUCUUCGGUUUAAUGUUAUCAUGUUUAAGUCUAUCCCUAGAUCAACUAAUGUUAUUGUUGACUCAAUAGCGAAUAUGAGUUUUUUUUAACUUAUAUUGAGUUUUUGGCCACUAAAAUCUAAUGAAUUUGGCCAAAAUCACUCACUGAUUUGCAUUGAAUUUUGUUUGAUCCGGUAGAACUAGUCAGCAUGGAGAUUUUAGUGCCCGAUCAGCGAGUUAGAGGGUCCAGAGAAACAACGUCAUUCCGGUCUGAGGUCUAGGUCCCAAAUGAUAUAGGAUAAUUUCUACAUAAGCUGCAGUGUUAUGCUUAGUCAGUUGUAUUGAG
Molecule: long non-coding RNA, 707 nt
Filed under: Brassica napus (rape)
Lineage: Eukaryota; Viridiplantae; Streptophyta; Magnoliopsida; Brassicales; Brassicaceae
Description: long non-coding RNA (BNAP_LNC003731)
Source: RNAcentral